GCUGGUGAUUAUGGCAGGAAGGACACACACGUUUACAUCCCGAACACGAUUGUUAAGCUUCCUCGCGGCGAUGGUACUUGGGCGGAAGGCCCUGGGAGAGUAGCUCAUUGCCAGCC
RNAcentral lists this ribosomal RNA (116 nucleotides) under bacterium F16. The record is from RNAcentral.